UGGGGAAUAUUGCACAAUGGAGGGAACUCUGAUGCAGCGACGCCGCGUGAGUGAUGAAGGAAUUCGUUUCGUAAAACUCUGUUCUAUGGGAAGAAAAGAACUGUACCAUAGGAGAAAGCUCCGGCUAAAUACGUGCCAGCAGCCGCGGUAAUACGUAUGGAGCGAGCGUUGUCCGGAAUUAUUGGGCGUAAAGGGUGCGCAGGCGGCUUUACAAGUUGGAUGUGAAAUAUUGUGGCUCAACCACAAACGUGCAUCCAAAACUGCAAAGCUUGAGUUAAGGAGAGGUAAGUGGAAUUCCUGGUGGAGCGGUGGAAUGCGUAGAUAUCAGGAGGAAUACCGGUGGCGAAGGCGACUUACUGGACUUAAACUGACGCUCAGGCACGAAAGCGUGGGGAGCAAACAGG
This 404-nucleotide ribosomal RNA is filed under the name Fusobacteriota bacterium. RNAcentral's name for it is "Fusobacteria bacterium partial 16S ribosomal RNA". It matches the Rfam family "Bacterial small subunit ribosomal RNA", at positions 355 to 776 of the family's 1533-position model. Lineage: Bacteria; Fusobacteriati; Fusobacteriota. The record is from RNAcentral.